GCCAAUAUUAUUUUCUUCUUUUAUGUCCAGUGUUAACAGUUAAUUUUAAUUAGUCAGUCAGGCAAAAUGCCAUGGUAAGAGUUAUAUAAUAUUGAAUAGGAUUCUACAAGUCCUAUAUUGGCAACUAAUAAACCUAUUUAUUUUGCAUGAUAUUGUAAUUGAAUUUUGUUGUUUAAUUAUCAUUGAUGAUAAAACUUUUGUCCUUUUCUUAGAUCAUCCAGGGAAAAAUCGUAAUGUGAAGGUAAUAACCUUGAUACUUUUCAUUUAUUUUCUGAUAUGUACUGAAAACUCUCUAUGCAACUUUUUUUUAUUAAAUUAUCUUGUUUCAUAGCCUAGUCAAUGUGGUCUUCCAAUGAAAGAUCCUUCCACAAGCCAAGAAUCAGAGAAAGUAGUCAAGACAAAACGAAAAUUAGGUAAAGUUGGUAAUUCCACAAUUUAGGAAGAAAAAAAUAUAUACUUAGGGACUUUUCGGUAUUCAUAUUAACUUUUCCCACUUUCUCCUCAUUUCUAUUCCAGCUUUUAUGGAAAAAGUUGAUUUACCUGCUGCAGAAAACACUGAUGAUGGUUCAAACUGGGAUUCUACAAGUACUUCUGAGAUACAUAAGAGUCACAGAAGUUCCAAGAUUUUAAACUUACAAAGGAGUGAUGUUGGCAAAUCCUUGCUCAGGACUCUAAAUAAGUUAGGUUCCACAAGAGUUGCAGCUGGAAGUGGGCCCGAAGUAGAAAAUCCAGGCCCCCAGAAGCAAUGUGAACCUCCUCUAGAAAAAGAAGCCCAAAAACGUAAGAAAGAUAUAGGGUUAAUACUCUGAAUUUAUUUGUAUU
This 822-nucleotide long non-coding RNA is filed under the name Sarcophilus harrisii (Tasmanian devil). RNAcentral's name for it is "lncRNA (ENSSHAG00000023235.1)". Lineage: Eukaryota; Metazoa; Chordata; Mammalia; Dasyuromorphia; Dasyuridae. The record is from RNAcentral.